UACGUAGGGUGCGAGCGUUAAUCGGAAUUACUGGGCGUAAAGCGUGCGCAGGCGGCGCGUUAAGACAGGUGUGAAAGCCCCGAGCUUAACUUGGGAAUUGCGCUUGUGACUGGCGUGCUGGAGUGUGGCAGAGGGAGGUGGAAUUCCACGUGUAGCAGUGAAAUGCGUAGAUAUCGAGAGGAACACCUGCGGCGAAGGCGGGUUGCUGGGCCGACACUGACGCUGAUGCGCGAAAGCCAGGGGAGCGAACGGG
This 253-nucleotide ribosomal RNA is filed under the name uncultured bacterium. RNAcentral describes it as "partial 16S ribosomal RNA". It matches the Rfam family "Bacterial small subunit ribosomal RNA", at positions 524 to 776 of the family's 1533-position model. The record is from RNAcentral.